UGGGGAAUUUUGGACAAUGGGCGCAAGCCUGAUCCAGCAAUGCCGCGUGAGUGAAGAAGGCCUUCGGGUUGUAAAGCUCUUUUGUCAGGGAAGAAACGGUUGGGGCUAAUAUCCCCGGCCAAUGACGGUACCUGAAGAAUAAGCACCGGCUAACUACGUGCCAGCAGCCGCGGUAAUACGUAGGGUGCAAGCGUUAAUCGGAAUUACUGGGCGUACAGCGUGCGCAGGCGGUUUUGUAAGUCUGACGUGAAAUCCCCGGGCUCAACCUGGGAAUUGCGUUGGAGACUGCAAGGCUGGAGUCUGGCAGAGGGGGGUAGAAUUCCACGUGUAGCAGUGAAAUGCGUAGAGAUGUGGAGGAACACCGAUGGCGAAGGCAGCCCCCUGGGUCAAGAUUGACGCUCAUGCACGAAAGCGUGGGGAGCAAACAGGAUUAGAUACCCUGGUAGUCCACGCCCUAAACGAUGUCUACUAGUUGUCGGGUUUUAAUUAACUUGGUAACGCAGCUAACGCGUGAAGUAGACCGCCUGGGGAGUACGGUCGCAAGAUUA
Molecule: ribosomal RNA, 548 nt
Filed under: uncultured bacterium
Lineage: Bacteria
Description: bacterial SSU rRNA
Rfam family: Bacterial small subunit ribosomal RNA
Source: RNAcentral